GACGAACGCUGGCGGCGUGCUUAACACAUGCAAGUCGAACGGAAAGGCCCUGCUUUUGUUGGGUGCUCGAGUGGCGCACGUGUGAGUAACACGUGAGUAACCUGCCCUUGACUUUGGGAUAACUUCAGGAAACUGGGGCUAAUACCGGAUAUGAGCUCCUGCUGCAUGGUGGGGUUUGGAAAGUUUCGGCGGUUGGGGAUGGACUCGCGGCUUAUCAGCUUGGUGGUGGGGUAGUGGCUUACCAAGGCUUUGACGGGUAGCCGGCCUGAGAGGGUGACCGGCGACGUUGGGACUGAGAUACGGCCCAGACGCCUACGGGAGGCAGCAGUGGGGAAUAUUGCACAAUGGGCGGAAGCCUGAUGCAGCAACGCCGCGUGCGGGAUGACGGACUUCGGGUGGUAAACCGCUUGCGCCUGUGACGAAGCGGGAGUGACGGUAAUGGGUAAAGAAGCACCGGCUAACUACGUG
This 468-nucleotide ribosomal RNA is filed under the name uncultured bacterium. RNAcentral's name for it is "partial 16S ribosomal RNA". It matches the Rfam family "Bacterial small subunit ribosomal RNA", at positions 28 to 507 of the family's 1533-position model. The record is from RNAcentral.